Molecule: long non-coding RNA, 1248 nt
Filed under: Marmota monax (woodchuck)
Lineage: Eukaryota; Metazoa; Chordata; Mammalia; Rodentia; Sciuridae
Source: RNAcentral
GAAACAACUCUGCUUCCUCUCUGUAGGAGACUUGGCACAGGAGAGGGAGAUGCAGAGGCUGGACCUAUCAGGCCAGGGAGCUACCUUCUGGAGACUUCAAUCAGAAGGGGUAGGGAGUUUUCAACUCUAGAUUUCCAAAAGUGUUCUGCUUGGGUCCCUUUGGUGACCACGGGGACUUGAAAACCCUCAUCAGUCCUGGGGGAUGUUCUGGUUUCUCCAAAGAACUGUGAAGGUCAUUGGGUACCACAAAAUAUUUGUCAUCAGGACCAAAAGGCCUCAAAAGCUCAGUGUGACUGUUGUGUGUCCGCCAGGUUCAGUGGAAACAUGGCUCCUCUCAGCCUCUUUGCUGAUUCUGGUUUGAAGGUAUUUAAUUCCUCCCUCUCUCCAGGUACGGUUUACAAACAGGCACGGAGAACCCAGCAGCAAGAAGUUUUCCCUGAUACUAUUUUUGGGUGCAGGCACAGGACUGGGGAUGGAACCCAGCGAUGCUUUACCUCUGAUCUACAUUCCUCGUCCUUUUCACUUUUUAUGGAGACAGGGUCUUGCUAAGUUGCUAAGGCUGGUCUGGAACUUGCAAUCUGCCUUCUUCAGCCUCCUGAGAAGCUGAGAUUACAGGCGUGUGUCACCAAGCCCAUCGGGAGGUUGGCUCUGAAAGCCAUAAAGGGCUGUUGAUCCUCAGGGAGUUGGGACGCAGGUGAGAGCAUGAAAACUUGGAUGAACAGCUUCCCUUUCUACAGACACAGACGGUCAGUCUUCAUAAAGUAAUAAGAACACAUGUCAUUUUGUGCUACUAAUAAAUGCCUCAUUUGUCCACCAUGGCUAAUAUUUAGGAAUUCUUAUUACUUAGUCUGGGGACUACACUCUGGACAUUUCUGGUGUCCUUCAUUUUGUGCCUUGAGGAAGAGUUUCCCUCUGAGUUGAUACUCUGACUACUACUGCUGCACACACACACACACAUACAGAGAGAGAGAGAGAGAGAGAGAGAGAGAGAGAGAGAGAGAGGGAGAGGGAGAGAUUGAUUUUGUUGUAGUUGUUGCUCUGUGGUGGGGGGGAUCAAACCCAGGGCCUUGUAGGUGCCAGGCCUCACUCUGCCACAGCUACUCUGUGCUGGUGCACUUAUUUAUAAAAUUUCUAGGUCUUGAUUAUCCCCACAGGCUUUACUUGCAUGUUUGCUGUGACAACGGAUGGUCCUACCAGCAGGAGGCAAGGAACACAGGUGAGUCUGUCUACAGGUUGCAAAAGGUCCAU